This 277-nucleotide ribosomal RNA is filed under the name uncultured Alphaproteobacteria bacterium. RNAcentral's name for it is "partial 16S ribosomal RNA". It matches the Rfam family "Bacterial small subunit ribosomal RNA", at positions 388 to 680 of the family's 1533-position model. The record is from RNAcentral. Lineage: Bacteria; Pseudomonadati; Pseudomonadota; Alphaproteobacteria.
CUAGCCAUGCCGCGUGUGUGAUGAAGGCCCUAGGGGCGUAAAGCGACUUUCGCCAGAGAUGAUAAUGACAGUAUCUGGUAAAGAAACCCCGGCUAACUCCGUGCCAGCAGCCGCGGUAAUACGGAGGGGGUUAGCGUUGUYYGGAAUUACUGGGCGUAAAGCGCACGUAGGCGGAUUAGUAAGUUAGAGGUGAAAUCCCAGCGGCUCAACCCUGGAACUGCCUUUAAUACUGCUAGUCUUGAGUUCGAGAGAGGUAAGUGGAAUUCCGAGUGUNGAG